AUUUGUUAAAUGAUAUUUAUUUAUUUUUAUUUUAAAAAUGUGAUUAUGUGAGAUUUGGUUGAAUGCACUAAGAUGCAUGGUAGAUAGUGAUGUACCCUAGUGAUUUAGUGUGUGCUAGUGCAUGGUAGCAUGAUGCACAUGUGUAGAAUUUCCUACACAUUAUAUAGUUUCCAUAUAUUAGAUUUAAUUGAUUUAUUAAAAAAUAAAUAAAUAAAAAGGAAAUGGGAAACCAUGUGUUGGACGUGUGGGUGUAGUGGGAAAGGAAGUCAAAUUUUUCCAUUUAUUUUCUAAGGCAAAUAAAGUCAAAAUUUGAAGAAGAUAGCCAUUUUGGGAAAGGAAUGUGAUCACCCUUUUAUCUCCAAUCAAUUGUGAUAAAAGAAAAUAAUAAGAACUUAAGAGAAAAUAAAAAGAGAAAGGAAACUUACCAUUUUAUUUGAUUAGGCUUUAUUGAGAGAAUUAAGAUAAAGGGGGAAGGAAAAUUUGGGAAGGGUCAUUUUUGCUCUUGGCCGUGUGUUGAAGAGAGGAAGAGAGAGAGAGGAUGGCGAGCUAGAGAGAGAAAGGGGAAGGGGCUGCCAUUUUCUAGAGAGAAGGUGGAGGAGAAAGGAAGAAGAAGAAGGAGGUCCUAGGGUAUUCAAAUGUAAUUAUCACUUGGGUGUUGAUCAAGUUGUGUUCUUGAUUUUACAAUCAAGAGAGGCUCUUUGAGAAGAUGUGGUUUUACUUAGCUUGGACCUAAGGUAGCAAAUAGGUUUCUCUAUGGCACGCGUGGUGAUGUGGGGAGUUAUGUCGUCCUGCUGUGUAUGGCGUGGGGCAUCCUAUGGAUGAAAAACAAUCAAUUCUAAACGCCAUUUUCUUUUAAUGAUGUUACGUUUAAUGAGACUUUUCAAACUUGUCAAUGAGACUUAAACUUUUGUUUGUUUUAGAACUUUGCAUAAAACUGAUAUUUUCUUUUAAAACUUUUGGGCCCAAUUUGCAUGUUUUAAGCGAGACCCCAUUGAAACCUUUAUAAUAUGUUGCUUUCUAUUAUAAACCAUUGAAAAUGUGAAUGUUUUAUUAAGUACUA
Molecule: long non-coding RNA, 1060 nt
Organism: Humulus lupulus (European hop)
Lineage: Eukaryota; Viridiplantae; Streptophyta; Magnoliopsida; Rosales; Cannabaceae
Exons: 4
Source: RefSeq, a predicted model, not a curated record